CGGAAGGGGCGAGCGUUGUUCGGAAUCAUUGGGCGUAAAGGGCGCGUAGGUGGUCUUGUGUGUCUACCGUGAAAGCACACGGCUCAACCGUGUUUGGUCGGUAGAAACUGCAGGACUCGAGGCUGGGAGGGGCUGGUGGAAUUCCCCGUGUAGCGGUGAAAUGCGUAGAGAUGGGGGAGAACACUCGUGGCGAAGGCGGCCAGCUAGACCAGUUCUGACACUGAGGCGCGAUAGCGUGGGGAGCAAACAGGAUUAGAUACCCUGGUAGUCCACGCUGUAAACGAUGGGCACUAGGUGCCGGCGGUCUUGAUCCCGUCGGUGCCGGCGCUAACGCAGUAAGUGCCCCGCCUGGGGAGUACGGUCGCAAGGCUG
RNAcentral lists this ribosomal RNA (372 nucleotides) under uncultured organism. RNAcentral's name for it is "bacterial SSU rRNA". It matches the Rfam family "Bacterial small subunit ribosomal RNA", at positions 526 to 896 of the family's 1533-position model. The record is from RNAcentral.